UACGUAGGGGGCAAGCGUUAUCCGGAAUUACUGGGUGUAAAGGGAGCGUAGACGGUAAUGUAAGUCUGGAGUGAAAGGCGGGGGCCCAACCCCCGGACUGCUCUGGAAACUAUGUUACUAGAGUGCAGGAGAGGUAAGCGGAAUUCCUAGUGUAGCGGUGAAAUGCGUAGAGAUUAGGAAGAACACCAGUGGCGAAGGCGACUUACUGGACUGUAACUGACGCUGAGGCAUGAGAGCAUGGGGAGCGAACAGG
This 253-nucleotide ribosomal RNA is filed under the name uncultured bacterium. RNAcentral describes it as "partial 16S ribosomal RNA". It matches the Rfam family "Bacterial small subunit ribosomal RNA", at positions 524 to 776 of the family's 1533-position model. The record is from RNAcentral.